GAUGAACGCUGGCGGCGUGCCUAAUACAUGCCAGUCGAGCGCACGGACGAGAAGCUUGCUCUUCUGAUGUUAGCGGCGGACGGGUGAGUAACACGUGGAUAACCUACCUAUAAGACUGGGAUAACUUCGGGAAACCGGAGCUAAUACCGGAUGAUAUUUUGAACCGCAUGGUUCAAAUGUGAAAGACGGUAUUGCUGUACUACAUAGAUGGCUUCGCGCUGAUUUAGCUAGUUGGGAAGUUAAGGCCUUACUAAGGCACCGAUGCAUAGCCGACCUGAGAGGGUGAUCGGCCACUCUGGAUCUGACACAGGGCCGAGACUCAACGGAAGGCGGAGUAAGGGAAUCUUCGGCAAGGGGCGAAAGCCGGACGAAGCACCGCGGGUUAAGGAAGAAGGUUCUUCGGAUCUUAAAACUCUGUGAUUAGGGAGGAACAUAUGUGGAAGUAACAGUGCACAUCUUGACGGUACCUUAUCAGAAAGCGACGGCUAACUACGUG
RNAcentral lists this ribosomal RNA (496 nucleotides) under uncultured bacterium. RNAcentral describes it as "partial 16S ribosomal RNA". It matches the Rfam family "Bacterial small subunit ribosomal RNA", at positions 28 to 507 of the family's 1533-position model. The record is from RNAcentral.